Long non-coding RNA from Danio aesculapii, 1238 nucleotides. RefSeq lists it as uncharacterized. The record is from RefSeq and is a predicted model, not a curated record. Lineage: Eukaryota; Metazoa; Chordata; Actinopteri; Cypriniformes; Danionidae. The transcript is spliced from 3 exons.
AGUUCAGUGUCACGUUGUCUGUCUGUCUGUCUAUGCCGGACAGAGUCUCAGUCGGGAACCCAGCAGGUGCUCUCAUUACCCCUAUCCCACUGUGGGCACUAUCAGUCAGGCUUCCCUGCUUUCUCCGCUCUGCAGUGUGGCAUAAAACCGUGGGCAAUUCACAUCUAGACAAGGAACAGCAGGGGAGAAAUGAAGAGGCCAGUCUUAUUCAUUGACCACAGAGUCAGUUGUGGGUACUGACUGAUAAAUGGACUGAUAAAUGUCUUUGUGCUGCUUUUCGUCUCUAUGGGUUGAUGGACUCUCAAGAACACGGCAGACAAAUGACCCUCACCGUCCCCACCAUCCAACAGCUCCUCAAUCAGGGGCCCUGAAAAGCUCUUGAUCCCUAUAUAAAAAGAUUACUUCCAUCAGCAAUCACUUGCAGGCAUGGACAUAAUUAGUACGCUGGCCUCUGUCUGAAAGCUAAAUCCUUGGAUGAGGGUCACUCCACCUGCUCCUCCAGUCUCCACUGAGGAUCUCUGAGAGUUGUACUGGGUGGCACUGCAUAAGGAGGGGGUGAGAGCCAACAGGGGCUCUCUUGUUGCACAAACAGACGUUAUUUGAAUUAACCUCGCUUGCAGGUCACCGCCAGAAGAAUUCCCCUCUUCUCUGCCCCAAGAAAAGUUGGCGAGCUGUGAUUCCCUGAGUUCUUUUCUCUCUGUCUUCUGUGUCUCUUCUUGACAGUGGGAGAUAGAGUCUUUGUUCAAAUUGGGGGAGACUGUGCCAACAGUUGGCGUCCCUCAAGGGGGAUGGAUGCAGUGCAUGUCAGGCCUCGAUAGGACUUCAUCACGUUCAACAGGCAACCACUUCUCAUCCCAAAGCACAUAACCUCAGCCGCCCUCCCCUCCAUGCACCCUAUGCCCCAUUCCUGUUUGCAGCCUUAGCUCUGAAACUCAAUUCACCCAUAUCGCAUCCAUUAAGGUCUGAUUCAUGCUCCACUCGCAAGGGGCCGAGCACAGCUAUCCAUCUUGUCCCCUGCUCAAAGGGUGCUGUUUACCUUUUGCUGGCAGAUCUAGGGCUAUGCUUUUAAAAUGAUCCCAACCUGUAAACGCAUCAAAUUUUAACUAUGAUGUCACUCAAUGGAAAAAAAAACUUGUAUAUUUACCUGUCUACAGACCUCUGACUUUUUCUCAUUUUCAUGUCGUCAAAUGCAAGUAUUAUUAUUAUUUUUCCAUGUGGUUGUUCCCCUCCUCCACUUA